RNAcentral lists this unclassified non-coding RNA (313 nucleotides) under Hevea brasiliensis (rubber tree). The record is from RNAcentral. Lineage: Eukaryota; Viridiplantae; Streptophyta; Magnoliopsida; Malpighiales; Euphorbiaceae.
UGAUAGGCUCCAAACUGGUAUGAGAGGAGCUUUCGGUAAGCCACAGGGAGUCUGUGCCCGUGUUGCUAUUGGUCAGGUUCUUCUCUCGGUUCGGUGCAAAGAUGGCAAUGCUAACCAUGCUCAAGAGGCUCUUCGCCGUGCUAAGUUUAAGUUUCCUGGCCGACAAAAGAUUAUUGUCAGCAGAAAGUGGGGGUUCACUAAGUUCAGCCGUACCGAUUAUCUGAAAUACAAAUCCGAGAAUCGUAUUGUCCCAGACGGUGUGAACGCCAAGCUUCUUGGCUGCCAUGGACGACUUGCUGCACGUCAACCUGGA